This 254-nucleotide ribosomal RNA is filed under the name uncultured bacterium. RNAcentral's name for it is "partial 16S ribosomal RNA". It matches the Rfam family "Bacterial small subunit ribosomal RNA", at positions 524 to 776 of the family's 1533-position model. The record is from RNAcentral.
GACAGAGGUGCCGAGCGUUAGGCGGAAUCACUGGGCUUAAAGCGUGUGUAGGCGGGCGGGCAAGUACCUUGUGAAAUCCCACGGCUCAACCGUGGAACUGCUGGGUAUACUGCUCGUCUUGAGCCAAUCAGGGGCGAGCGGAACAGACGGUGGAGCGGUGAAAUGCGUAGAUAUCAGGAGGAAUACCGGUGGUGUAGACGGCUCUCUGGACCGCCACUGACGCUGAAGACACGAAAGCGUGGGUAGCAAACAGG